UACGUAGGUGGCAAGCGUUAUCCGGAUUUACUGGGUGUAAAGGGAGCGUAGACGGCACUGCAAGUCUGGAGUGAAAGCCCGAGGCCCAACCACGGGACUGCUCUGGAAACUGCGGGGCUGGAGCGCAGGAGGGGUAAGCGGAAUUCCUAGUGUAGCGGUGAAAUGCGUAGAUAUUAGGAGGAACACCGGUGGCGAAGGCGGCUUACUGGACUGUAACUGACGUUGAGGCUCGAAGGCGUGGGGAGCGAACAGG
RNAcentral lists this ribosomal RNA (253 nucleotides) under uncultured bacterium. Its description in RNAcentral is "partial 16S ribosomal RNA". It matches the Rfam family "Bacterial small subunit ribosomal RNA", at positions 524 to 776 of the family's 1533-position model. The record is from RNAcentral.